CGGAGGGACUAGCGUUGUUCGGAAUUACUGGGCGUAAAGCGCACGUAGGCGGAUUUGUAAGUCAGGGGUGAAAUCCCGAGGCUCAACCUCGGAACUGCCUUUGAUACUGCAAAUCUCGAGUCCGGAAGAGGUGAGUGGAAUUCCUAGUGUAGAGGUGAAAUUCGUAGAUAUUAGGAAGAACACCAGUGGCGAAGGCGGCUCACUGGUCCGGCACUGACGCUGAGGUGCGAAAGCGUGGGGAGCAAACAGGAUU
Molecule: ribosomal RNA, 253 nt
Filed under: uncultured bacterium
Lineage: Bacteria
Description: partial 16S ribosomal RNA
Rfam family: Bacterial small subunit ribosomal RNA
Source: RNAcentral